AAAAGUGAUCUGUGCCUCUGCAGUCCUGUGUGCAGAGUGUGUCUGUAGGCCCCUCAUUCAAAGGUCCUUCAUGCAGUACUGCGUGAGCCAGUACAAGUAAAGGAGGCAAAGCUCACUCAAACUGUGGAAUAUCACCAGUCUCCCAGAAGCCUUCCAGAGCUGCCCCUCUACAGGUCUCCUGCUUCAGGACCCCAUGAGGUUCCCAGGGCCUCCUCUGCUAGCUCAGAGCACACACCAGCUCUGCAAAGCCUCGUGCAUGCCUCUCUUUUGAGCUGGGGUCCCAGGCCCCCUUUGUUUAAUGCUGUUA
This is a long non-coding RNA of Oxyura jamaicensis (ruddy duck), 307 nucleotides long. RefSeq lists it as uncharacterized. The transcript is spliced from 2 exons. NCBI's taxonomy places the organism in Eukaryota, Metazoa, Chordata, Aves, Anseriformes, Anatidae. The record is from RefSeq and is a predicted model, not a curated record.